This is a long non-coding RNA of Venturia canescens, 686 nucleotides long. RefSeq lists it as uncharacterized. NCBI's taxonomy places the organism in Eukaryota, Metazoa, Arthropoda, Insecta, Hymenoptera, Ichneumonidae. The transcript has 3 exons. The record is from RefSeq and is a predicted model, not a curated record.
ACAAAAUUUCAAUAAGAAACAGAAUUUAUCGCGAACAAUAUCUUCGUGGGAUGGACGUUUGAAAAAUUUCGUUCCAUGUGAUAUGGUAAGAAAAAGCCAUGGGUUUUUGCGCCGUGUACCUCGCUCCGUUCUCACGAUUUCAAAACAAGAAAAUACAGCGCGUCGUAUGUGUGUGUUUUGUGGGCUGCGAGGGUUCAAAAGAUAAGAGGUCGAUAUGUACUGCAAACUGCAGAGUGAAAAUGAAAUGGUAUACCUACGGAGUUGAAAAGGGAAUGUGUCAAAAUGCACGUGUAUUUGUAACAAAGCUAGAACUUUACCACGAAGGGAACAUUACAAUUUGCUUUUAUACUGGAAACAAUCGCUUUCUCAUAUCGAAGCGAUCGUUUGGCAAAAAUAUAUACGAUAUACCACAGCAUACGAGUACAAAAAUAUCAGGAAUGUUGAAGCUCGAGGGAGGUCCUAAGAAAAAAAGGAAUUGGGUUUACCGUGUCACAACUUUAAAUAUGAAUAUCGAUUUCGGUGUCGGUGUGCAAGAUGUGAAAAUUGUAUCCAGAAUUAAAACUCUCUAAUAUGACGACUGCUUCGAAAUAUUCGAACGAUCAACAGCGGUCCUUGUUCGUAUUCGGGCAAUAUACACAGAGGAUAGAGGAUGUUUGGUUCGGCGCAUGUUUACAUUUAGUUGGGAC